This 269-nucleotide ribosomal RNA is filed under the name uncultured prokaryote. Its description in RNAcentral is "partial 16S ribosomal RNA". It matches the Rfam family "Bacterial small subunit ribosomal RNA", at positions 524 to 792 of the family's 1533-position model. The record is from RNAcentral.
UACGUAGGGUGCGAGCGUUGUCCGGAAUUAUUGGGCGUAAAGAGCUUGUAGGCGGUUUGUCGCGUCUGCUGUGAAAAUCCGGGGCUCAACCCCGGACUUGCAGUGGGUACGGGCAGACUAGAGUGUGGUAGAGGAAAGCGGAAUUCCUGGUGUAGCGGUGAAAUGCGCAGAUAUCAGGAAGAACACCAGUGGCGAAAGCGGCUUUCUGGACUGUUACUGACGCUGAGGUGUGAAAGCUAGGGGAGCGAACAGGAUUAGAUACCCCUGUA